UCCACCUACGGGAGGCAGCAGUGGGGGAUAUUGCACAAUGGGGGGAACCCUGAUGCAGCGACGCCGCGUGGGUGAAGGAGCGCUUCGGCGCGUAAAGCCCUAUCGGCAGGGAAGAAGAUGACGGUACCUGACCAAGAAGCCCCGGCUAACUACGUGCCAGCAGCCGCGGUAAUACGUAGGGGGGAAGCGUUAUCCGGAUUUACUGGGUGUAAAGGGGGCGCAGACGGCAAUGCAAGCCAGGAGUGAAAGCCCGGGGGACAACCCCGGGACUGCUCUUGGUACAG
RNAcentral lists this ribosomal RNA (284 nucleotides) under uncultured bacterium. Its description in RNAcentral is "partial 16S ribosomal RNA". It matches the Rfam family "Bacterial small subunit ribosomal RNA", at positions 334 to 635 of the family's 1533-position model. The record is from RNAcentral.